RNAcentral lists this long non-coding RNA (3918 nucleotides) under Equus caballus (horse). RNAcentral's name for it is "lncRNA (ENSECAG00000053465.1)". Lineage: Eukaryota; Metazoa; Chordata; Mammalia; Perissodactyla; Equidae. The record is from RNAcentral.
GGGCGGGACAGCUGGACGGGGUGGGCGGGGCAGCCGGACGGGGUGGGCGGGGCAGCGGAAUGGGGCGGGGCGAGUUGCGCGGCUGCUGCUUGGGACCCGCCCGCUCCACGAAGGCAAUUGGGAAAUCUGAGAAAUGUAUUGAGCGUCUGCUACGUGCCUCUGACUGUGUGUCUCCAAGUUUGCAUGUAGUUGGAAUGACCAGCAGGACAGUACCAGCCAAGAGCUUUAAGCUUUACAGCCUGAGACCACCAGAGACAAUCCUUAGACAAGGCUGGUUGACUACAGCAGAUGCUGUGCUGUGUUGCUCAGAUCCAUAUUCAGGACGGAAGAACUUAUUUCCCUCAACUGCUGCAAGUGCUGUAGACUGCAUCCAGCUAUUUGUUGUGGGAGAAUAAAAUACUGGCCCCCUCACCCCAACUUGGGACAACUCUUGGCCAUCACAGCUCUAGAGCUCCCCAUGGGAUCAGCUGAAGCCUCACUGAGACUGCCUUGAAGCCCAGCUCCUCCCUCUGCCCAGUCUGGCUCCCUUCCCUUCCCCUUCAGGCCCACAGGAAGCUUAGGCAACCAAUUUUGGACCUGUUUGAAACCAACUUCCCUAUAUCAGAAACAGGAAAAGAAAGAAGUUACACUCUGCCUCAUGAGCCAACUGGAGAACUGAGCUCAGCAUCUUGCCUUAUUGGUGCACAUUCUAUUCACAUAAUGAAGUUCUUUCAUUUUCUGCUUGGAGAGACCUGCUGACCUCACACCUGAAUGAGGCGAUGUCGUCCUCCCUUCCAGUCUCUCAGAACCCAGCCACCAUCUUGUGAGGAAGCUUCCCACGUGGAGAGGGCCUAAGGACUUCUGACAGCAGCCAAAACCAACUUACCAGCUCUGUGAGCGAACCACCUUGGAAGUCUGUCCUCCAGACCAAGUGAAGCCUUCAGAUGACUGUAGUCACACCUAACAUCUGACUAUGACCUCACGAGGGACCCCUAACCAGAACCACUCGGCUAAACUACUGCCGGAUUCACAACCCACAGAAACCAUGAAAGACAUAAAUGGUCAUUGCCAUCUUAACCCGCUAAGUUUUGCAGUGAUUUUUUUUAUGCAGCUUUAGAGAACAAAGGAGAGGAGUGCAACAGAAAGGGGCCAUCCCAGAACCCUCAAAGGUGUGGGGCCUAGGACAGGGCCUCUUUUGCCUGGAUUUAGGGCCGUACUGAGGAAAGGAUAUGGAUUUUAUUUCAGUAGCUGGGUAUUUCCUAGGGAGGGAUGAGCUUAUUUAUACAAAAGAGGAACUUGCAGGACUGAGCAGGUGUUGGAGAUCAGGAAAUGUUUUUAUAAAAGCUGUAACAAAGCAGCCCUUUAUCUGGAGUAUACAAAGAAAUGAAAAUCUAAUGAGACCAUUUAUUUGCUUGAUUGUAUAAACACACAAAAAUGUACACAUCUUGGAAUAGUCACAGCGGAAGGAGAUCUGCUUAAGCCAGUGAUGCCGUCUGUCACUUUUCAAAAAUGCCUGUGAAACUUCUCUUUCGGAAUUGCCCACAAAGCUGGAUUACGAGCUUCCCAUGAAACCAGACUCAUCACUCAAGCUGCGACUUGGUUUGUGACCCCAGACAGCAUUUCCCAGCUUGAUCACCCAACCUACUCAGCAGACUUCGUUCUGAAUGACUUAGAACUGUUUCCAAAACUCACACCCGCCCUUGGAGGAUACAUGCUGUCAGACUUAUCUUUCUGCCACACCUCGGAUCAUGCGCUUCAGUGCCUCUCGGUUGCAUAGAGAAUUAAGCUCCAACAUGUCAGCUAGAUUUUCAGAACUUUAUACAACAUGCAGCCCCCACCUAGCUUUGCAGUUCUAUCAUCCCAGAACACACGAUGCCCUCUCUACUUACUGAUGAUAGGUACCAUUUACUGAGCCCUUAUUAUGUGCCCCACACUGUGCUAAGAGCUUAAUAUAAUCUCUCAUUUUGUCCUUAUAUGACUUUGUAAGAUAAAUGUUAUCUCUAUAGUAUAAAUAAUAAUAAAACAGGGGUCACUAACACUUUGUACAGCAGUUACAAUGUGCUAAGCCACCGUCCAAUAGAAAUAUGAGCCAUAUUUGUCAUUUUAAUUUUCUAAUUGCCACACUAAAAAAGUAAAAACUAGGUGAAAUUGAUUUUAAUAAAGUAUUUUAUCAAUGAGCAUUUAAUCAAUAUAAAAACUUUUUAAUGAUAUAUAUCAUAUUCUUUUUUAGUGUGUAUUAAAUCUUUGAAAUCCAUUGUGUAUUUUACACCUACAGCACGUCUCAAUUUGGACACUAAAUUUUUAUUGGAAAUACUUGAUCUAUAUUUAAAUAUUGUAAAAAGUACAGUGAAAAAAGUAGAUUCACAUACCCAAGUUGUUCCAAACAUGCUUAAAAGAUUUCCAAUACCUGAAUCAAGUACCAAAUAAUCAUUUUUUUCUAUGCUCAUCCCUAUUGACAAAACUGAUUUAAUUUUAAACUUUUAACUUCACUUUCAAUCAAUUAAAAUUAAAUAAAAUUAAAAAUUUAGUUUCUCAGUUGCACUAGCCACUUACCAAGUGCUCAUGUGGUUAGUGGCUGCCAUGUUGGGCAAUGCAACUCUAGGCACUUUACUACUGUCAACACAAACGUUUGAGGUAGCUUCAUUUUACAGAUAAAGAAAUAGAGGCAUAGAGAAGUAGUAACUUGCACUAGUAUACACAGUUAAUAAGCUGAUGUUCAGAAUGGUUGAUUUACCUUAGCUAGUAAAGGUUGGAAACAGGAUUUGAACUCAGGAUUGUUUGUGUCCAAAGUCUAAAUUCUUAUCCACUGUGCUAGUCUGCUCUACAGACUUAAUUUCUCACUAUUCUCCUAAAAUCCUUACUUUCUUGAUUCUGGUCUUUUUAUCAGACUGUUUCCUCUGUCUAGAAUGCCAUGGAAGGCCCAUUUUGAAUGUUAUUCAUUCAUUCAGACAGUCAUUCAGUCAAUCACUUUUUCAACAAAUAUUGCCAGCCAUGUUUCAAAUAUCUCCCACGUGAAAUACAGCCGUGAUCAAGACAGACGUCCCCCCUGCCCGCACAGAGCUUCAAUUCUGCCGUAACGCUUCUCACACUUCGGUCUCAGGAUUCUGUAACACUCUGAACGUUAUUGAGGACCCGAAGGGCUUUUGAUUAUGUGAGUUAUAGCUGCCAAUCUUUAUUGUACUAGAAAUUAAAACUAGGAAAUUGUAAAAAUAUUUAUUCAUUCAUUCAAAAAUAACAUGAUGAACAUAUUACAUGUAAACAUAAAUAAUGUAUAACUGAAAAGACAACUAUAUUUUCCAAAACAAAAAAUAAGAGUAGCAUUGUUUUAUAAUUUUGCUAAUCUCUUUAAUGUGUGACCUAAUAAAAGGCAGCUGGGUUCUCAUCUCUGCUUUUGUCUUUAAUCUGUUGCAAUUUGUCAUUUUGGUUGAAGUAUGUAAGAAAAUCUUGCCUCACUAAGAUAUAUAAUUGGAAAACAGAGGAGUAUCUUAAAUGCUUUUUCAGAUAAUUGCGGAAAUUCUUCUUUGUUACUAUACCAAAAAUCAACAAGUGCUAAUUUCUUUAAAGUUAGCUACAAUGUGGAAUCUGAAACCAUAUCAAUGGUAAAUAUAUGUUUCAUUGAUCCUUUCUAUUGUCUUUUUUGUUUCAAUAUCGUUUAUUUCUGCUCUUAUUUUUAUUAUUUCCCUCCUUCUACUGACUCUGGGCCUUGUUUGUUCUUCUUUUUCUAGUUCUGUUAGGUGUCGUUUGAGGUUGCUUACGUGAGCUUUUUCUUGUUUAGUGAGGUGAGCCUGUAUUGCGAUGAAUUUCCCUCUUAGGACUGCUUUUGCUGCAUCCCAGAUGAUUUGGUAUGUCGUGUUCUCAUUUUCAUUUGUCUCCAGAUAAUAUUUGAUUUCUUCUUUAAUUUCUUCAAUGAUCCAUUGUUUGUUGAGAAGCGUGUUGUUU